RNAcentral lists this ribosomal RNA (253 nucleotides) under uncultured bacterium. RNAcentral describes it as "partial 16S ribosomal RNA". It matches the Rfam family "Bacterial small subunit ribosomal RNA", at positions 524 to 776 of the family's 1533-position model. The record is from RNAcentral.
UACAGAGGCCUCGAGCGUUAGGCGGAAUCACUGGGCUUAAAGCGUGUGUAGGCGGACUUCUAAGUACCUUGUGAAAUCCCACGGCUUACCCGUGGAACUGCUCGGUAUACUGGUUGUCUUGAGCCACCUAGGGGCGAGUGGAACAAAUGGUGGAGCGGUGAAAUGCGUAGAUAUCAUUUGGAACGCCAAUGGUGAAAACAGCUCGCUGGGGGUGCACUGACACUGAGACACGAAAGCCAGGGGAGCGAACGGG